RNAcentral lists this ribosomal RNA (466 nucleotides) under uncultured bacterium. RNAcentral describes it as "partial 16S ribosomal RNA". It matches the Rfam family "Bacterial small subunit ribosomal RNA", at positions 28 to 507 of the family's 1533-position model. The record is from RNAcentral.
GAUGAACGCUGGCGGCGUGCUUAACACAUGCAAGUCGAACGGAAAGGCCCUGCUUGCAGGGUACUCGAGUGUCGAACGGGUGAGUAACACGUGGGUGAUCUGCCCUGUACUUUGGGAUAAGCCUGGGAAACUGGGUCUAAUACCGAAUAUGACAAUUGUUUGGAUGCGAUUGUGGAAAUCUUUUGCGGUAUGGGAUGAGCUCGCGGCCUAUCAGCUUGUUGGUGGGGUAAUGGCCUACCAAGGCGUCGACGGGUAGCCGGCCUGAGAGGGUGUACGGACAAAGUGGGACAGAGAUACGGCACAGACUACUACGGGAGGCAGCAGUGGGGAAUAUUGAACAAUGGGGGAAAGACUGAUGCAGCGACGCAGCGUGGGGGAUGACGGCCUUCGGGUUGUAAACACCUUUCGCAACCGACGAAGACUUUUGGUGACGGUAGGUGGAGAAGAAGCACGGGCUAACUACGUG